Non-coding RNA from Gossypium hirsutum (cotton), 87 nucleotides. The record is from Rfam. NCBI's taxonomy places the organism in Eukaryota, Viridiplantae, Streptophyta, Magnoliopsida, Malvales, Malvaceae.
CACGUCAGUGCGAGUUGCUGACGUGGUAGCAAAUCGCGUCCUUGAGGGAGCGAUUUGUUGCCACAUCAGCAACUCGCGCUGAUGUGG